RNAcentral lists this ribosomal RNA (253 nucleotides) under uncultured bacterium. Its description in RNAcentral is "partial 16S ribosomal RNA". It matches the Rfam family "Bacterial small subunit ribosomal RNA", at positions 524 to 776 of the family's 1533-position model. The record is from RNAcentral.
UACAGAGGUGGCAAGCGUUGUUCGGAUUUACUGGGCGUAAAGGGUGCGUAGGUGGUUAUCUGUGUCGGGUGUGAAAUCCCACGGCUCAACCGUGGAAUGGCAUUCGAAACUGGAUGGCUAGAGUGCAGGAUGGGAGAGCGGAAUUCUUGGUGUAGCGGUGAAAUGCGUUGAUAUCAAGAAGAACACCGGUGGCGAAGGCGGCUCUCUGGAAUGCAACUGACACUGAGGCACGAAAGCUGGGGAAGCAAACAGG